AAAACAUGUACGAGGUCUAACCAAUAAGUAAUGAGACUAAUUCAAUAAAAUACGUAUAUUUAAAUAUUAAGAUACAUCGAUGUGAUCCCCUUCAAAGUACUCCCCUCCCACCCCUAUACACUGGUUCCAACGUUUUUUCCAGCUCUCAUAACAUUUCUGGAAGGCUUCGACUGGAAUGUCCUGAAGUACCCUCGUCACGGCGUUCUGGAUGUCAGUUAUGGACUCAAAAUGCGUUCCUUUCACGGCCAAUUUUGUUUUAGGGAACAAAAAGAAGUCGCAGGGUGACAUAUCCGGCGAAUAGGGCGCUUGUGGCAACACUGCGAUGUUCUUAGAGGUCAAAAAUCGCGACACACUGAAGGCACGAUGGCAUGGAGCAUUGUCAUGAUGAAGGUACCAUCUUUGCACACAGCUUUUUCAUGGACAAAUCAUCAGUUAAAAUUUUUCUGACGGUUUCUCGUUUCAAAUUAAGUUCAUCAGCCAACAUUCGAACGGUUAAACGCCGAUCUUGAUGCACGAGAGUGCGCACACGCUGAACAUUGUUGUCAGUUCGAGCUUCAACCGGUCUCCCACUUCGCGGUUCAUCCCCGACGCUUUCACGAC
Non-coding RNA from Cinara cedri, 600 nucleotides. The record is from the annotation of a GenBank genome assembly. NCBI's taxonomy places the organism in Eukaryota, Metazoa, Arthropoda, Insecta, Hemiptera, Aphididae.